CUUCCUUUCAUCCUCUCAUUCUUGAGCUUCUUCAAACCAUUCUAUGGAGUUCAGAUAAUCUGCUGAUCCAAAGCUUUGAAGAAGACAUUCAAGAAGCUAGAUCAUGACGUCAAUAUACAAGACUUUCUUGGAUCAAGCACUUAAAUUGUUGAGGAACUGACUAAUCAUUUAAGAUUAGAAGUACAACAGAGGCUGAGGUAUAUGCUUUUGGUAGUCUAAUGUGCAACUUUUGUUUCAAGAUCAGAGGUGUUUUUUGAUCUUUCUCAAUAUGGUAAAAUUAAUAUCUUCUCAUUAACUUGUAAAUUUAUGGCUUCUCAAUUCAUUGCUUUGUUGUUGUUCUGAAUUUGUGUUGUUAGUUU
Dioscorea cayenensis subsp. rotundata (Guinea yam) is the source of this 359-nucleotide long non-coding RNA. RefSeq lists it as uncharacterized. The record is from RefSeq and is a predicted model, not a curated record. NCBI's taxonomy places the organism in Eukaryota, Viridiplantae, Streptophyta, Magnoliopsida, Dioscoreales, Dioscoreaceae. The transcript is spliced from 4 exons.